AGAGUUUGAUCCUGGCUCAGGAUGAACGCUGGCGGCGUGCCUAAUACAUGCAAGUCGGACGGAGCGCUUCGGCGCUCAGUGGCGAACGGGUGAGUAGCACAUGGGCAACCUGCCCUUCAGAGGGGGACAACAGCUGGAAACGGCUGCUAAGACCGCAUAGGCGCGGACGGGACAUCCCGUCCACGUUAAACGUCCUUUCGGGGACGGCUGAAGGAUGGGCCUGUGGCGCAUUAGCUUGUUGGCGGGGCAACGGCCCACCAAGGCGACGAUGCGUAGCCGGCCUGAGAGGGCGGACGGCCACACUGGGACUGAGACACGGCCCAGACUCCUACGGGAGGCAGCAGUAGGGAAUUUUCGGCAAUGGGGGGAACCCUGACCGAGCAACGCCGCGUGAACGAGGAAGGCCUUCGGGUCGUAAAGUUCUGUUGCGAAGGAAGAACGCCGGAGGGAGGAAAUGACCUCCGGGUGACGGUACUUCGCGAGAAAGCCACGGCUAACUACGUGCCAGCAGCCGCGGUAAUACGUAGGUGGCGAGCGUUAUCCGGAAUCAUUGGGCGUAAAGAGGGAGCAGGCGGCCGUGAGGGUCUGUGGUAAAAGACUGAAGCUCAACUUCAGUGAGCCAUGGAAACCGGACGGCUGGAGUGCGGCAGAGGAUCGUGGAAUUCCAUGUGUAGCGGUGAAAUGCGUAGAUAUAUGGAGGAACACCAGUGGCGAAGGCGACGGUCUGGGCCUGCACUGACGCUCAUUCCCGAAAGCGUGGGGAGCAAAUAGGAUUAGAUACCCUAGUAGUCCACGCCGUAAACGAUCGAUACCAGGUGUCGGGGGAGAAGCCCCCGGUGCCGGAGUCAACGCAUUAAGUAUCGCGCCUGAGUAGUACGUUCGCAAGAAUGAAACUCAAAGGAAUUGACGGGG
Molecule: ribosomal RNA, 912 nt
Filed under: uncultured Sharpea sp.
Lineage: Bacteria; Bacillati; Bacillota; Erysipelotrichia; Erysipelotrichales; Coprobacillaceae
Description: bacterial SSU rRNA
Rfam family: Bacterial small subunit ribosomal RNA
Source: RNAcentral